UUCCGAUCUCAUCAACCGUUCAUGGCGGAACGAACACGCCGUCGCAACUGAGAUACUCCGAUUGGACUCCGCUUUCGUUCUGAGGUCCAGAGAACACAUACUAUUGAAGGGUUCGCGUGUGGUGAAAUUGGACACUGUAUCAUGAAUCCUUCAGAUUGAAAUGAACGCGAUGAAAAUAGAUGAAUGGUCGUGUCCAGCUUCGUAAGCAAUAAACCAUAAGUUCGUCUCAUGUAAACAUGUUGAUUGUUGCAAUCAGCUUCAUAGAUUUUCGUAUGCAUCAUGGGAGAUUUCUGCUUAAUUCGGUGUUAAUUUUAUCAUUCAGUUGAUCCAAAGGGCAUAGAUUGAGAUAUCGAUUGCUUUAGGAUGGAUCUGAAUGCUGUUACGUGUUCUUCUUGAAUGGUGAUCUAAAUAUCAUUUUUAGAUCGAUUAAUUCAUGUUUGACAUCCAAAAAAUAACCACCGAGUUUUUGGAAUCGGCUCCCUUAUCAAGAACAGAAGUGAGGCAACAAGCAUGAGGCUGAUCUGUUAUCCAAACUUGAUACUUCACUCUGGAAGUACACUAUGAAGUUCAAGACGUUCUAAUUUUUGCAAUUACCCCAUUGUUGCAGGCCUAAUGAAUACAUGAAACAACCUUUUGAUCAAUCUGUUUUGUGAAAAUUGUUAGAUGGUUACAAGUUUUCCUUUAAAGCAAUCCACGAUAUCUAAAGAAAAUGGCAUGGUAAUUUGAUAAUCUUCUUGAGUUUGCAUAUAUUUUACCUGCAAUAAUGGCAUAUGUGCAAGCAAAACACUGUUCGAAGUUAAAAAUGUAAGAAUAUUGUAGAAGAUAUCUAAAGAAUCAAAAUGGAAAAUAGCCAAAUGAUUAUCUGGUAAGAUCAUGAGUAGCAUUUUCUCUCAAUUUUGGACUUCAUUUUCUGAUCCUAAACUGUUCUAUUGAAUUUCCUUAUGAUGCUUCAGGUUGCAGCAACAGCAAGUGACUCAAAAAGUUGUCUGUAUCUUGCUUUUUCUGCGUGAAUUUGAGUCCCGAAAACCCAUCUUUAUGUGAUGGUGUAGUUUGUUUCAGUCAUUAUGGAUUCACACCUUACCACACAAGCUCAAAGUCCCCGAGCCUGAGGAUAACGACCUAUCUAUAAAUUACACUUCAAAGCGAAACGAUAUGGUCCAAGGUCAUCAGUUCGAUUCCUCAGGGCGACUGGGGAUUUUCCUGGCUGUUACUUUCAGGAAAGCCAGCUAAGACAUCCACAGUUACCCAGAAAAAGAACAUGACAUGGUACUAAGGUUGCUGGCAAAAUUGAGCGGAGGAUGCAGCAGUGGUGGUGGGUGGUGGUGGUGGGUGGUGAUGGUGGUUCUUGGAAAGUAGAGGCAAUGUUUUCCUUCCUAGAAAGGUAUGGUUCUUUUCAAACAAUCACAAUCAACAAACGAAAAAGGCUUCUUUUCCAAGUGAUGAUGAUGAAUUUAAAGUUGUUAUAUGAGAGAAUAGAAACUCCCUUCCC
Cynara cardunculus var. scolymus (artichoke) is the source of this 1489-nucleotide long non-coding RNA. RefSeq lists it as uncharacterized. Lineage: Eukaryota; Viridiplantae; Streptophyta; Magnoliopsida; Asterales; Asteraceae. The record is from RefSeq and is a predicted model, not a curated record. The transcript has 3 exons.